This 468-nucleotide ribosomal RNA is filed under the name uncultured bacterium. RNAcentral describes it as "partial 16S ribosomal RNA". It matches the Rfam family "Bacterial small subunit ribosomal RNA", at positions 28 to 507 of the family's 1533-position model. The record is from RNAcentral.
GACGAACGCUGGCGGCGUGCUUAACACAUGCAAGUCGAACGGAAAGGCCCUGCUUUUGUGGGGUGCUCGAGUGGCGAACGGGUGAGUAACACGUGAGUAACCUGCCCUUGACUUUGGGAUAACUUCAGGAAACUGGGGCUAAUACUGGAUAGGAGCUCCUGCUGCAUGGUGGGUGUUGGAAAGUUUCGGCGGUUGGGGAUGGACUCGCGGCUUAUCAGCUUGUUGUUGGGGUAGUGGCUUACCAAGGCUUUGACGGGUAGCCGGCCUGAGAGGGUGACCGGACACACUGGGACUGAGAUACGGCCCAGACUCCUACGGGAGGCAGCAGUGGGGAAUAUUGCACAAUGGGCGGAAGCCUGAUGCAGCAACGCCGCGUGCGGGAUGACGGCCUUCGGGUUGUAAACCGCUUUCGCCUGUGACGAAGCGUGAGUGACGGUAAUGGGUAAAGAAGCACCGGCUAACUACGUG